Molecule: transfer RNA, 77 nt
Filed under: Micrococcus terreus
Lineage: Bacteria; Bacillati; Actinomycetota; Actinomycetes; Micrococcales; Micrococcaceae
Description: tRNA_Leu_TAA
Rfam family: tRNA
About the family: Transfer RNA (tRNA) molecules are approximately 80 nucleotides in length.
Source: RNAcentral
GCCCCCGUAGCCCAAUUGGCAGAGGCAGGCGACUUAAAAUCGCUGUGUUGUGGGUUCGAGUCCCACCGGGGGCACCA